CCCUCCCUUCUCCACGCCCCCCCCACCCCCCAGCCUUUGGCAUCAUUAUCCUCAUCACUAAAUCCUGCAGAGUACUGGGCGGAAAGCGGUGCACAC
Molecule: long non-coding RNA, 96 nt
Filed under: Nannospalax galili (Upper Galilee mountains blind mole rat)
Lineage: Eukaryota; Metazoa; Chordata; Mammalia; Rodentia; Spalacidae
Description: ZEB2 antisense RNA 1 conserved region 3 (ENSNGAG00000002893.1)
Rfam family: ZEB2 antisense RNA 1 conserved region 3
Source: RNAcentral